Molecule: transfer RNA, 76 nt
Filed under: Streptomyces sp.
Lineage: Bacteria; Bacillati; Actinomycetota; Actinomycetes; Kitasatosporales; Streptomycetaceae
Also listed under: 1 other name
Description: tRNA-Ile
Source: RNAcentral
GCCUGUCCAGGUGCGAAGGCAGGACCUACUUCCGCUGAUAACGGGGAGGCCGCGGGUUCGAAUCCCGCCGCCGGUA